AGAGUUUGAUCCUGGCUCAGAACGAACGCUGGCGGCGUGCUUAACACAUGCAAGUCGAGUGCGCGGUUGUAGCAAUACAACUGGCGCACGGUGCACGGGUGCGUAACACGUGGGUAACCUGCCCUUUGGUGGGGAAUAACUCCGCGAAAGCGGAGCUAAUUCCGCAUAAGAUCCGCAAGGAUGAAAGCCGCAAGGCGCCGAAGGAGGGGCCCGCGCCCGAUUAGCUAGUUGGUAGGGUAACGGCCUACCAAGGCUUUGAUCGGUAGCUGGUCUGAGAGGAUGAUCAGCCACACUGGAACUGAGACACGGUCCAGACUCCUACGGGAGGCAGCAGUGGGGAAUCUUGCACAAUAGGCGAAAGCCUGAUGCAGCGACGCCGCGUGGGGGAUGAAGCAUUUCGGUGUGUAAACCCCUUUCGAUCCGGACGAAACCCCGCAAGGGAUUGACGGUACGGAUAUAAGAAGCCCCGGCUAACUACGUGCCAGCAGCCGCGGUAAU
Molecule: ribosomal RNA, 498 nt
Filed under: uncultured soil bacterium
Lineage: Bacteria
Description: bacterial SSU rRNA
Rfam family: Bacterial small subunit ribosomal RNA
Source: RNAcentral